Molecule: small nucleolar RNA, 89 nt
Filed under: Hanseniaspora osmophila
Lineage: Eukaryota; Fungi; Ascomycota; Saccharomycetes; Saccharomycodales; Saccharomycodaceae
Description: Small nucleolar RNA snR56
Rfam family: Small nucleolar RNA snR56
Source: Rfam by way of RNAcentral
CUUAAUGAUGAGAAGCAAAUUAUUACACAGACCUGUACUGAACUUUGCAUGUAGAUAACAUAAUUGUUAUUGCCUUUUUAUCUCUGAAA